This is a long non-coding RNA of Vespula vulgaris, 1137 nucleotides long. RefSeq lists it as uncharacterized. The record is from RefSeq and is a predicted model, not a curated record. Lineage: Eukaryota; Metazoa; Arthropoda; Insecta; Hymenoptera; Vespidae. The transcript is spliced from 2 exons.
AUAUAUAUAUACGUAUUACCUGAUAAUGAGAAUUUAUCAAAAAACGAUAUAUAUUUUACGAGUUAUCAAACAAAUUCGAAGAAUUGGAUCUGUAUAGAUAUUUAACGAAAUUAAAGAUUAUCUUCGAGUCGUUGCGAUCGACGAGAGUUUUCGAGAAGAAAAUGGUGACCUUCAUUUUUAAGAAAGACGUACUCGGACUUAUCUCUCUAAGUGGAAAAAUUUCAACUGUCUAGUUUUUCGGCUACCUUCCUCGAGAUGUCACAAAAAAGAAAAUAAAAAGAAAAGAAAAAAAAAAAUCUAACGAAGAGGUCUUUGUUUUCUUAUAUUAUUAUUAUUUUUUUUUUCAUCGUGAUCAAAUCAAUAUUCAAGAUCGCGAGUGACAAUGAAACGGACGGUUAAACAAACGCGAAUAGCACUUUGAGAAUGAUACGCGAUUGCACGUUUCUACUUGGCAACUCUUUUUUUUUAAAGAGAGAGAGAGAGAGAGAGAGAGAGAGAGAAGUAGCAAGGGAGCUCCGAUCUAUAAAUAAAAGUCGGAGGUGCUCACGGUUAGCGGAUGAGAGUCUCUAGUUGGUGACUUGGACCCAGUAGUAAACGUGCAAGUUUCGUAACACCUUUGGAACGAGGUAAUCAAAGUGAAUAUACUUUUCGAGCUACGCCCUCUUUCUUCUAGCCAUCGAAUCUUAUUCUUUCUCUCUUUCCCUCGCAAUUUAAAGACAACAGGUUGAGAAUCUUAAUGGAGAAGAUAUAGAAUUGAAAAGAUAUAGAAGGAAGAUAAAUUGAAGAAAUAAAAGUUUAUAAAAGGUAGCAGCUGGUAGAACAACAACAACAGCAACAACAACGUAAUACGGCACACGAUGGUGACGCGUGGUGGAGAGGACGGACUGACUUGCACAACAUAGAACUAUCUUACGUAACGAUCGAGAGUAUCCGUAGUAAGAAAUUUGUAUCGAUACUUGUACAAUACGGUCAAUAAAAAUAUUCUUUACGUCCGGUUCAGUUACAUCGUUCGAGCCUUGGCGAACGUCGUUCGACGAAUUCGCGUAUAUUUUUAUGUAAUGUCGUACGAUUAAUGGUAAGAGUAAGAGAGACGGAAAAAAAAUAGACAGAGAAAAGAGAGAGAGAGAGAGAGAGAGA